Molecule: ribosomal RNA, 470 nt
Filed under: Neisseria pharyngis
Lineage: Bacteria; Pseudomonadati; Pseudomonadota; Betaproteobacteria; Neisseriales; Neisseriaceae
Description: bacterial SSU rRNA
Rfam family: Bacterial small subunit ribosomal RNA
Source: RNAcentral
AUUGAACGCUGGCGGCAUGCUUUACACAUGCAAGUCGGACGGCAGCACAGAGAAGCUUGCUUCUUGGGUGGCGAGUGGCGAACGGGUGAGUAAUAUAUCGGAACGUACCGAGCAGUGGGGGGAUAACUAAUCGAAAGAUUAGCUAAUACCGCAUAUUUUCUGAGGAAGAAAGCAGGGGACCAUUUGGCCUUGCGCUGUUUGAGCGGCCGAUAUCUGAUUAGCUAGUUGGUGGGGUAAAGGCCUACCAAGGCGACGAUCAGUAGCGGGUCUGAGAGGAUGAUCCGCCACACUGGGACUGAGACACGGCCCAGACUCCUACGGGAGGCAGCAGUGGGGAAUUUUGGACAAUGGGCGCAAGCCUGAUCCAGCCAUGCCGCGUGUCUGAAGAAAGGGCUUCGGGUUGUAAAGGACUUUUGUCAGGGAAGAAAAGGAUAGGGUUAAUACCCCUGUCUGAUGACGUACCUGAAGAA